This 166-nucleotide ribosomal RNA is filed under the name Vibrio cholerae O1 biovar El Tor. RNAcentral describes it as "partial 23S ribosomal RNA". It matches the Rfam family "Bacterial large subunit ribosomal RNA", at positions 1 to 162 of the family's 2925-position model. The record is from RNAcentral. Lineage: Bacteria; Pseudomonadati; Pseudomonadota; Gammaproteobacteria; Vibrionales; Vibrionaceae.
GUUGUAUGGUUAAGUGACUAAGCGUACACGGUGGAUGCCUGGGCAGUCAGAGGCGAUGAAGGACGUACUAACUUGCGAUAAGCGCAGAUAAGGCAGUAAGAGCCGUUUGAGUCUGCGAUUUCCGAAUGGGGAAACCCAACUGCAUAAGCAGUUACUGUUAACUGAA